UAUAGAGAUAAUAUAUAGCAUCUACGCAGCAACCACUGAACUGAAUCAUAUUAUAUAUAUUAUUGUAUUAUAUAUUGUAAAUAUAUAUUGUAUAUGUAUAGGGGUGGGACCUAAUAAGUUUACUUCUUCCCACUCCCUUUUGAGCCAAUCUACAAAAGAUUAGUCACAUGUAAUGUUUACAAUGUAGGUGUAAAAAUAAUGUAUUGAUAUAUUUCUUUUGUAUUUUAUGUCAUUCUCUUGUUUUGUUUGCAUGGCUCAAAAUAAACCAUUCAUUCAUUCAUUCAAUGAAGAAAGCCUGUAGUGCUCUAACCUUUAAGAUUGAUGAUGGGUUACUUUAAAAACAUUAGAUUUUUCACAGCAUGUAGACUGUUUCCCGACAGACAUAAGUGGUGUCCAAGCUGACCUCCUGCAACACAGGAUUGGAACGGUCCAUCAAGGGCCACACUUAGUGCCGUAGCGGGAGAAAUUGGCUGCUGUUCACUUGCUACUGAUGAGCCACAAGCGAGCAGAAAUGGACAAAAGAUAGUCUACUUUAUGGAAAUAUCAGGUUCAAAGUCAUUGCAAGUUGUUCUCCCGACAAGAAAAGACUAUUUCCCACCCUGAGAAGAGGCGACAUUCCUGCAGCAAACACCUGCUGCUCGCGUCGUUCUAGAGUACAAGUACAGAUGGCUGAUAAGAUGAGACCGCAACAUCUGGAAGAGCAGCGAAACACAGCUGUGUGACAAAGUGACAUUGCACAGCCAUCAGACUGUAUAAUGCAUAUGUUCCUUCUUGACUGCACUUAAAUGUAGAAUAUAUUUAUAUUAUUCAUAUCUUAUAAAUUAUAUUUAUAUAUAUAAUAUAUGUCAUAUUAUCUAUUUUUAUUAUUGUUUAUU
This is a long non-coding RNA of Nerophis ophidion (straightnose pipefish), 875 nucleotides long. RefSeq lists it as uncharacterized. The transcript is spliced from 3 exons. NCBI's taxonomy places the organism in Eukaryota, Metazoa, Chordata, Actinopteri, Syngnathiformes, Syngnathidae. The record is from RefSeq and is a predicted model, not a curated record.